Molecule: ribosomal RNA, 302 nt
Filed under: uncultured bacterium
Lineage: Bacteria
Description: partial 16S ribosomal RNA
Rfam family: Bacterial small subunit ribosomal RNA
Source: RNAcentral
GCAGCAGCCGCGGGAAUACGUAGGGUGCGAGCGUUAAUCGGAUUUACUGGGCGUAAAGCGUGCGCAGGCGGCCCGUUAAGACAGGUGUGAAAUCCCUGGGCUCAACCUAGGAAUUGCGCUUGUGACUGGCGGGCUCGAGUACGGUAGAGGGGGGUGGAAUUCCUGGUGUAGCAGUGAAAUGCGUAGAGAUCAGGAGGAACACCGAUGGCGAAGGCAGCCCCCUGGGCCAAUACUGACGCUCAUGCACGAAAGCGUGGGGAGCAAACAGGAUUAGAUACACGUGUAGUCCCUGUCUCUUAUAC